UUCUAUAUGUUACUAUAAUAGAGGUUCUUCAGACUCUUACUGACACUAUUUUCCAGAGAACAAAAGGGAAACUAUACUGUUCUAGGACACCUGUUUCCUUUGUAAUUUUUCUGUUCAAGGAUUUCUUUUGGAGACAUGGGUCAUUUGACCUCAAACUGAGAAUAUGCUUAAGGUUCUUUGGGAAUUCAAAGUAGAAUCAGCUUUAUCUCCCAGCUUUGAAGAUGCAAGUUUUUGACUGCUGUUCAUUGUUUACUGGCUAUGGAGGGAUAGAGAGUGUACCUGUAAAGGGAAGACAUGGGUCCUCUUAUGUCCAACAUGAAGACAUUUUCUUUGUAUCAAGCUUACUUUAAGUCAUUAGCUUUGAGAACCUAGCAUAAGUCAUUGUUUCAGAAGGUGCAGGUUUGCAUAAUGGUGAUUUCUUUCUCCUCUAAGAUUCUUGGUCACCAUCAGAGGGUUUUUUAUUUGUCUUCUGAUCAUGAUCCUAUGCCUCACAGUGUGAGAAGUCACAAAGAUGCCUAUUUUGGAGAUAAGCAUUUCCUUACAUUUUAGUAUAUUAAAGAAUAUCUUAUUGAAAUACUCAGAAUCUAAAAACUAUAUAUUCUUUGCUAUCUUAUUCUUAAAGGAAUCGUUUUUAAAAUUAUUAAUAGAAUAAUGAAAUCUGACCCUUAUUGACAGCCUUGAUUAAAGUGGCCCCUCUCACCUGCUCAUAAACAUUGUUCCAAAAGCCAGGUCUUCUUAAGCUUUUACAAAUACCAGGCUUUGAAUAGCUAAGCUC
Molecule: long non-coding RNA, 775 nt
Organism: Myotis davidii
Lineage: Eukaryota; Metazoa; Chordata; Mammalia; Chiroptera; Vespertilionidae
Exons: 3
Source: RefSeq, a predicted model, not a curated record